GAGUUUGAUUAUGGCUCAGGAUGAACGCUGGCGGCGUGCCUAAUACAUGCAAGUUGAACGGACUUGGAGGGUGCUUGCACCUAACAAGUUAGUAGCGAACGGGUGAGUAAUACAUAAGCAACCUACCUAUUAGACUGGGAUAACUAUGGGAAACGAUAGCUAAUACCGGAUAGGUAACUUGAAGGCAUCUUUAAGUUAUUAAAGGUUAGAGACACUAAUAGAUGGGCUUAUGGCGUAUUAGUUAGUUGGUGAGGUAACGGCUCACCAAGACGAUGAUACGUAGCCGGCCUGAGAGGGUGAACGGCCACAUUGGGACUGAGACACGGCCCAGACUCCUACGGGAGGCAGCAGUAGGGAAUUUUCGGCAAUGGGCGCAAGCCUGACCGAGCAACGCCGCGUGAGUGAAGAAGGCCUUCGGGUUGUAAAGCUCUGUUAUAAAUUAAGAAUGGCUAUAAGGGA
Molecule: ribosomal RNA, 459 nt
Filed under: Erysipelotrichaceae bacterium canine oral taxon 311
Lineage: Bacteria; Bacillati; Bacillota; Erysipelotrichia; Erysipelotrichales; Erysipelotrichaceae
Description: bacterial SSU rRNA
Rfam family: Bacterial small subunit ribosomal RNA
Source: RNAcentral